Non-coding RNA from Prunus avium (sweet cherry), 284 nucleotides. Lineage: Eukaryota; Viridiplantae; Streptophyta; Magnoliopsida; Rosales; Rosaceae. The record is from RefSeq and is a predicted model, not a curated record.
UCUCUCUCUCUCUCUCUCUCUCAUAUUAGAAUUUAGAAAUUAUAUGUUGCAUUUGGAAUUAGCCAUCAUAUGAUUGCAAGAAGAAACCUAAAAAAUCAGGUGAAACCAUCAAAAUCAGAUGAAAGCUGCAAAAAUCAGCUCAAAAUGCAAGGAGGACAAUUUUGAGAUGAUUCUGUAGCUGGUUUGGUUGCUGGUUGAUGAUUGUACUUGCUUGGGUUCUUGAGUGUUGCUGGUUUUGAAGUAUUUUGCUUCAUUUUGCUGGGUGUAGUUUUUUUGUAUGUAAA